AUGCAAGUCGUACGAGAGUUUUUAACUCUAGUGGCGGACGGGUGAGUAACACGUGAGAAUCUACCCUAAGGAGGGGAAUAACAGCUGGAAACGGUUGCUAAUACCCCAUAUGCCGCAAGGUGAAAGGAUUUAUCCACCUUAGGAAGAGCUCGCGUCUGAUUAGCUAGUUGGUGAGGUAAAGGCUCACCAAGGCCAUGAUCAGUAGCUGGUUUGAGAGGACGAUCAGCCACACUGGGACUGAGACACGGCCCAGACUCCUACGGGAGGCAGCAGUGGGGAAUUUUCCGCAAUGGGCGAAAGCCUGACGGAGCAAUACCGCGUGAGGGAUGAAGGCCUGUGGGUUGUAAACCUCUUUUCUCAAGGAAGAAGUUCUGACGGUACUUGAGGAAUAAGCAUCGGCUAACUCUGUGCCAGCAGCCGCGGUAAUACAGAGGAUGCAAGCGUUAUCCGGAAUCACUGGGCAUAAAGCGUCUGUAGGUGGUUUGAUAAGUCUGCUGUUAAAGACUAGGGCUUAACCCUAGGAAAGCAGUGGAAACUGUCUGACUUGAGUAUGGUAGAGGUACAGGGAAUUCCUAGUGUAGCGGUGAAAUGCGUAGAUAUUAGGAAGAACACCAAUGGCGAAAGCACUGUACUGGGCCACAACUGACACUGAGAGACGACAGCUAGGGGAGCAAAUGGGAUUAGAUACCCCAGUAGUCCUAGCCGUAAACGAUGGAUACUAGGUGUUGCACGUAUUAACCCGUGCAGUAUCGUAGCU
RNAcentral lists this ribosomal RNA (757 nucleotides) under uncultured cyanobacterium. Its description in RNAcentral is "bacterial SSU rRNA". It matches the Rfam family "Bacterial small subunit ribosomal RNA", at positions 55 to 853 of the family's 1533-position model. The record is from RNAcentral. Lineage: Bacteria; Bacillati; Cyanobacteriota.